RNAcentral lists this transfer RNA (71 nucleotides) under Marmota monax (woodchuck). RNAcentral describes it as "tRNA.Ala". Lineage: Eukaryota; Metazoa; Chordata; Mammalia; Rodentia; Sciuridae. The record is from RNAcentral.
GUGGUUGUGGCUCAGUGGAAGAGAACUUGUCUAGCACAUGUGAGGCACUGGGUUUGAUCCUCAGCACCACG